This is a long non-coding RNA of Bactrocera tryoni, 680 nucleotides long. RefSeq lists it as uncharacterized. The record is from RefSeq and is a predicted model, not a curated record. The transcript has 3 exons. Lineage: Eukaryota; Metazoa; Arthropoda; Insecta; Diptera; Tephritidae.
UAAAUAGUGCAAAUCAGCAGAGCAACAACAACAAAAGUCACAGCACAUGUGACACAUUUUGGAAUUACUGUGACAAACAACAAAAAUUGGAUUAAAACAACAUAACCGAAAUAAAAGCUCACUGUGUGGUCGCAAAGAAAAUGGAGUUUAACAAAUAAAAACCAAAAUUUCCGCAAAAAUAAUGAGGAGACAGAUUGGAUCGAACUGUGCAGGUGUGCAAUGAUUUGCUCUAUGUGUCUUUAUGUGGCAGAUAAGACUACGCACGUCAACAUGUGUGGCAAACAAGUGAAUGUGAGCCAAAUUAGCGGUGUACAAGUGGAAGCAAGAUAAAAAAACUAGAAAAGAAAUAACAAAAAAUAUAAUGAAGCAGAAAUUGGCAAUAAGUCCAAUAAUGUCGCAGGAUAAUCAUUUUUCUUGUGCCACGGGGCAAGUGCAUGUGUUAUUUUUAAGCGAAAUGACAGCAGAACGUUGAGAGAGCGUUUAAGUAACAUACAACAACGACAAUAACUGCGAGCAAGUGUCAUAGAGAUGAAGGGAUUCAAUGUAUACAUACUUAUAUGUAUGCGCAUGUGUCUGUGAACCAAUCGACGGCCAAUGAAAGCUGUUAAAAAGCAGAUAUAUUUUAACAGUAAAUUUGCGUCGAAGGCAGCAGCAGCAAAACUGUACACACACACACUCAA